CAGUCGCCACGGUAACACGGAGGGUGCAAGCGUUAAUCGGAAUUACUGGGCGUAAAGCGCACGCAGGCGGUUUGUUAAGUCAGAUGUGAAAUCCCCGGGCUCAACCUGGGAACUGCAUUUGAAACUGGCAAGCUAGAGUCUCGUAGAGGGGGGUAGAAUUCCAGGUGUAGCGGUGAAAUGCGUAGAGAUCUGGAGGAAUACCGGUGGCGAAGGCGGCCCCCUGGACGAAGACUGACGCUCAGGUGCGAAAGCGUGGGGAGCAAACAGGAUUAGAUACCCCGGUAGUCCCUGUCUCUUAUAC
This 301-nucleotide ribosomal RNA is filed under the name uncultured bacterium. RNAcentral's name for it is "partial 16S ribosomal RNA". It matches the Rfam family "Bacterial small subunit ribosomal RNA", at positions 509 to 807 of the family's 1533-position model. The record is from RNAcentral.